GCAGGAAGGCCAGCUUGGCGGCGACAGGACGCGGGCAGGCGGGCCAGCAGAAGAGCCAGCACAGCUCGCCCACCGAGAAGCCGUUCAUUCACUGCAGGGAAUCAUCUGGCAGGCAGCCUGAGGAAGAGGAUGAACAGCCCUGGAAGCCAGCAGAUCUGAGAGGGCUGCUCCAGCUCCUAACUCACCCACAUGGAGAAUUGCUUCCCUGAGAAGGGACAUUCUGAGAUGCUGGGAGACUUCAGUGACUAUGUGAGUCAAUCUGUGAAUGACAGAAGGAUUUUUUCAACAGAUCCUCUGGAAACACCCAACCUCUCAGUCUAGUCUCCAGUCAGGGCCAUCAGAAUAAACACUGAAACUGUGUCUCUUAGAAUCUCUUUUCAGUGUGAUAGUCUGAAUAGAAAAUAAAGAAACACAUCUCUCCUC
This is a long non-coding RNA of Cervus elaphus (red deer), 423 nucleotides long. RefSeq lists it as uncharacterized. Lineage: Eukaryota; Metazoa; Chordata; Mammalia; Artiodactyla; Cervidae. The transcript has 3 exons. The record is from RefSeq and is a predicted model, not a curated record.